RNAcentral lists this ribosomal RNA (478 nucleotides) under uncultured bacterium. Its description in RNAcentral is "partial 16S ribosomal RNA". It matches the Rfam family "Bacterial small subunit ribosomal RNA", at positions 28 to 523 of the family's 1533-position model. The record is from RNAcentral.
GACGAACGCUGGCGGCGUGCUUAACACAUGCAAGUCGAACGGUAAGGCCCUUCGGGGUACACGAGUGGCGAACGGGUGAGUAACACGUGGGUGAUCUGCCCUGCACUUCGGGAUAAGCCUGGGAAACUGGGUCUAAUACCGGAUAGGACCCUGGGAUGCAUGUACUGGGGUGGAAAGCUUUUGCGGUGUGGGAUGGGCCCGCGGCCUAUCAGCUUGUUGGUGGGGUGAUGGCCUACCAAGGCGACGACGGGCAGCCGGCCUGAGAGGGUGACCGGCCACACGGGGACUGGGAUACGGCCCAGACUCCUACGGGAGGCAGCAGUGGGGAAUAUUGCACAAUGGGCGCAAGCCUGAUGCAGCGACGCCGCGUGAGGGAUGACGGCCUUCGGGUUGUAAACCUCUUUCAGCACCGACGAAGCGCAAGUGACGGUAGGUGCAGAAGAAGGACCGGCCAACUACGUGCCAGCCGCCGCGGUAA